Long non-coding RNA from Manihot esculenta (cassava), 544 nucleotides. RefSeq lists it as uncharacterized. The record is from RefSeq and is a predicted model, not a curated record. NCBI's taxonomy places the organism in Eukaryota, Viridiplantae, Streptophyta, Magnoliopsida, Malpighiales, Euphorbiaceae. The transcript is spliced from 3 exons.
UCUUGAUCAGAUAACCCGUGAACUGACGUUGCGCUUUUUUUUUUCAAAUACUUCACAUGCCAUAUUGCUAUACGGUGAUUUAAUUCUGUGAGAUAAAAUUCCUUAAAAUCUCAUCUCUUGUAAUAGCGUUUUAGAAGGUAUACACAUGAUAAACUAGCAAAUUGUUCUGAAUUGAACCUUAGAUUUGGUACCGUUUCUCGUCAACAGUGGCUAACAGUUCGUUGCCCAAAGCCAAGGGUUCCAAUGAUCAAAUGAGGCAAGAGAUAGAACGCUGCUUUCUUUGGCAGCCAUUCCCGUGCAUGGAUAUGCAGGAUUUCUCUUAAAUCCUACAUUGAGAUGAGGCACGCACUGUUUCAGACGUCUAAAUAUCAACGGUCAAUCUCCUGGUUCUGUGUUUUAUUCAGUAAUAAAAUUCUUGGAAACACUUAUUUUGAAGCACAUUUUCUCCUUCAGUGACUUUAGAUGAUUCUUCCUGCAGUUCAGAGACAGAAACAGAAAUGUGUGCAUUGUCAUCUGCAAUUGAUCCUGCCAAAUUUUUUUGGAU